RNAcentral lists this ribosomal RNA (198 nucleotides) under uncultured bacterium. RNAcentral's name for it is "partial 16S ribosomal RNA". It matches the Rfam family "Bacterial small subunit ribosomal RNA", at positions 328 to 539 of the family's 1533-position model. The record is from RNAcentral.
ACGCUCGACACCUACGGGGGCAGCAGUGGGGAAUAUUGCACAAUGGGGGAAACCCUGAUGCAGCGACGCCGCGUGAGUGAAGAAGUAUUUCGGUAUGUAAAGCUCUAUCAGCAGGGAAGAGAAUGACGGUACCUGACUAAGAAGCCCCGGCUAACUACGUGCCAGCAGCCGCGGUAAUCUGAGGCGGGCUGGCAAGGC